AUGUGUGAGCAAGAAGAGCCCUUUGGUGAGGGGGAGUUAAGGAAUAACAACCAGCAGGGUGGCAUGCUGGCUGAUGGCGACGCCAAUGCCAAUGACAUUCGGACAGAAGAUGGUGGGAGAACUGGGGAUACUGGCUGUCUGUCAGGACUGAUAACUGAAACAGCAGAGCAAGACAAAGUCAUCAUCUGGGGCACAGACUCUCAGUGUGAUGACCCUGAGCUGGCUGAAUUUGAGAUGUUAGAGUGUCAGGAGUUGGAGGCUUAUCUUGUUGAGGAGGAAGAGGACUUUGUUGGGCUUGCAGAGCGGAAGGAGCUUCAAGAACAGCCGUCAUCAUGCAGAAAAUCCACAGCAGAAGAGGCGAUAGAUUAUAAGGGCAGGGAAGAAAGGAAGUCAAUUCUGAACGGUGCCAGUGAGCAAGAAUCCAAUGACUCUCAUGUCUCUGAGAGCAGAGAAGCUUCCAAGACUGAGUUAAGCUCUGAAGCUGAUGUCUUUGUAUCCUGCCUGUCCACCAUUUCAAGCAUGGCCACUGCCAUGGACACUGUUGGCAAGAACCAGAUGACAGACUCCUGGCAUAUUGCCUCUGGUCCUCAUUCAACCAUCUCAGAGGACCUGACUUCCCAGAUUUGCACCACUAUCUCUGAGAGAGGCAAGGCCUCUCAAAUAGUUGAUGAUUCUUCUCUUUUUGCUAGAAAAAGCACAAUAACCCAGAAAGAUGUAGAUAUGAAUUUGAAUUCAGCAGUUCAGUCAGAUGAUGCUGUAUCACAGGCACAUGAUGUCAGUGGCAAGCACGGGACAAAUAAUAACCAGAGAAAUAAAGCAAAGGGUAGUGUUUUGGAGGUAAAUUGUACUGAGCACAAGGCUUUAACCUCUCCGACAAAAUGUCAAAAAGAAAGCAACGCUAAAAUAGAUAAAAGCACACAAGCUGAUGAAACCCCUGAUGUGAACUACAGGGCUCUCAGAACAGGUACAAAGGGGACUCAGUCAUGUAUUGAACCUAAAGCCAUAAAGAAACAAGGCUCGUUUGAUAACACACUGAAGAAACAAAGCUCUUUUGAUAAAAGUCUCAAAAAGCAGCCUUCAUUUGAGAAUUCUUUAAAGAAGCAGCUCUCUUUUGAUAACACCUUAAAAAAGCAGGGCUCCUUUGAGAACACCACCACUCCCAGCUCUUCAAGUCUGGAAAGGAGGAAGCCAUGGGGAAGCCCUAGUCGACCAGCAACUCCUACAUCCCCUAAAACCACCUCCUCUUCGUCACCUAAGAGACGACCUCCUGGUUCUCCAGCUAAGGUCCAGGGCAUCAGGGCACUGAGCCUGGAGCGCAGUGACUCCUCUCAAAGAGGAAUAAGUCAAACUGUCAAGCCACAUGCUAAGACCACUUUGAGCAGUGGAAUCCCCAAACCUAUCAUGCCUCAACAGAAGGAGUCCGAACCCAGGAGAUCUUCGCCCCCUCAGAAGCCCAAAAACGUGCGACCAAAAAUCAUCACGUAUGUUCGAAAGAAUGCUCAAGCAAAACCACCACUCACCGAUGCACUAAAUGAAGCCUCCACACACACAUCAAGAUUACCCUCUUACUCCAACCCACCAGCUCUCAAAGAUCCAAAGGUUGCUUCUCAAACUAAAUCCACACCAGUGCUCUGUUCCUCAAACCUGCUAUUUGACAAAUAUCGACAGGAGAUGCAGAAGACAGGAUACUAUCCUCCAGGUGUCGCUGUGACUGGAGUAAAACCUCCAAGCAGCACUCUCCCUCAACGGAGCGGAAAGCCAGACAGCUUCCAGGAGGCAUCAGACAAAUAUCUUCAAGAGGUGAGAAGCGGACUUUUGUUUCGAUAUGUUCACACAACUCAGGUUAUGGUGUUGUGUGAACAAUUUAGCACAGGGGUGGGCAAUUCCAGGCCCCGAGGGCCGGUGUCCCUGCAGGUUUUAGAUCUCACCUUGGGUCAACACACCUGA
Molecule: long non-coding RNA, 1947 nt
Organism: Oreochromis niloticus (Nile tilapia)
Lineage: Eukaryota; Metazoa; Chordata; Actinopteri; Cichliformes; Cichlidae
Source: Ensembl